Molecule: ribosomal RNA, 856 nt
Filed under: uncultured Actinomycetes bacterium
Lineage: Bacteria; Bacillati; Actinomycetota; Actinomycetes
Description: bacterial SSU rRNA
Rfam family: Bacterial small subunit ribosomal RNA
Source: RNAcentral
GGACGAACGCUGGCGGCGCUGCUUAACACAUGCAAGUCGAACGGUAAGGCCCUUCGGGGUACACGAGUGGCGAACGGGUGAGUAACGCGUGAGUAACCUGCCCUUGACUCUGGGAUAACAGACGGAAACGUCUGCUAAUACCGGAUACUCAGCCUUGUGGGCAUCCACAGGGCUGGAAAGCUCCGGCGGUCAAGGAUGGACUCGCGUCCUAUCAGCUUGUUGGUGGGGUAAUGGCCUACCAAGGCGACGACGGGUAGCCGGCCUGAGAGGGCGACCGGCCACAUUGGGACUGAGAUACGGCCCAGACUCCUACGGGAGGCAGCAGUGGGGAAUAUUGCACAAUGGGCGCAAGCCUGAUGCAGCAACGCCGCGUGCGGGAUGACGGCCUUCGGGUUGUAAACCGCUUUCAGCAGGGACGAAGCGCAAGUGACGGUACCUGCAGAAGAAGCACCGGCUAACUACGUGCCAGCAGCCGCGGUGAUACGUAGGGUGCGAGCGUUGUCCGGAUUUAUUGGGCGUAAAGAGCUUGUAGGCGGUCGGUCACGUCGAAAGUGCAAACUCAGGGCUUAACCCUGAGCCUGCUUUCGAUACGGGCUGACUAGAGGAAGGUAGGGGAGAAUGGAAUUCCCGGUGGAGCGGUGGAAUGCGCAGAUAUCGGGAGGAACACCAGUGGCGAAGGCGGUUCUCUGGACCUUUCCUGACGCUGAGAAGCGAAAGCGUGGGGAGCAAACAGGCUUAGAUACCCUGGUAGUCCACGCCGUAAACGGUGGGUACUAGGUGUGGGGGACAUUCCACGUUCUCUGUGCCGUAGCUAACGCAUUAAGUACCCCGCCUGGGGAGUACGGCCGCAAGGCUA